This 503-nucleotide ribosomal RNA is filed under the name uncultured bacterium. Its description in RNAcentral is "bacterial SSU rRNA". It matches the Rfam family "Bacterial small subunit ribosomal RNA", at positions 29 to 524 of the family's 1533-position model. The record is from RNAcentral.
AUUGAACGCUGGCGGCGUGCCUAACACAUGCAAGUCGAGCGGUAACAGGUGUAGCAAUACAUGCUGACGAGCGGCGGACGGGUGAGUAACGCUUGGGAAUCUGCCUGAUAGUGGGGGACAACCCGGGGAAACUCGGGCUAAUACCGCAUACGCACUACGGUGGAAAGCCGGGGACCGCAAGGCCUGGCGCUAUCAGAUGAGCCCAAGUCGGAUUAGCUAGUUGGUAGGGAACGGCCUACCAAGGCGACGAUCCGUAACUGGUCUGAGAGGACGACCAGUCACACCGGAACUGAGACACGGUCCGGACUCCUACGGGAGGCAGCAGUGGGGAAUAUUGGACAAUGGGCGAAAGCCUGAUCCAGCGACGCCGCGUGGGUGAAGAAGGCCUGCGGGUUGUAAAGCCCUUUCGGGUGGGGAAGAAAAGCCUCGAGUUAAUACCUCGGGGUCUUGACGUAACCCAUAGAAGAAGCACCGGCUAGCUCUGUGCCAGCCGCCGCCGUAAG